AGUGAAAGACGGUCUUGCUGUCACUUAUAGAUGGAUCCGCGCUGCAUUAGCUAGUUGGUAAGGUAACGGCUUACCAAGGCAACGAUGCAUAGCCGACCUGAGAGGGUGAUCGGCCACACUGGAACUGAGACACGGUCCAGACUCCUACGGGAGGCAGCAGUAGGGAAUCUUCCGCAAUGGGCGAAAGCCUGACGGAGCAACGCCGCGUGAGUGAUGAAGGUCUUCGGAUCGUAAAACUCUGUUAUUAGGGAAGAACAUAUGUGUAAGUAACUGUGCACAUCUUGACGGUACCUAAUCAGAAAGCCACGGCUAACUACGUGCCAGCAGCCGCGGUAAUACGUAGGUGGCAAGCGUUAUCCGGAAUUAUUGGGCGUAAAGCGCGCGUAGGCGGUUUUUUAAGUCUGAUGUGAAAGCCCACGGCUCAACCGUGGAGGGUCAUUGGAAACUGGAAAACUUGAGUGCAGAAGAGGAAAGUGGAAUUCCAUGUGUAGCGGUGAAAUGCGCAGAGAUAUGGAGGAACACCAGUGGCGAAGGCGACUUUCUGGUCUGUAACUGACGCUGAUGUGCGAAAGCGUGGGGAUCAAACAGGAUUAGAUACCCUGGUAGUCCACGCCGUAAACGAUGAGUGCUAAGUGUUAGGGGGUUUCCGCCCCUUAGUGCUGCAGCUAACGCAUUAAGCACUCCGCCUGGGGAGUACGACCGCAAGGUUGAAACUCAAAGGAAUUGACGGGGACCCGCACAAGCGGUGGAGCAUGUGGUUUAAUUCGAAGCAACGCGAAGAACCUUACCAAAUCUUGACAUCCUUUGACAACUCUAGAGAUAGAGCCUUCCCCUUCGGGGGACAAAGUGACAGGUGGUGCAUGGUUGUCGUCAGCUCGUGUCGUGAGAUGUUGGGUUAAGUCCCGCAACGAGCGCAACCCUUAAGCUUAGUUGCCAUCAUUAAGUUGGGCACUCUAAGUUGACUGCCGGUGACAAACCGGAGGAAGGUGGGGAUGACGUCAAAUCAUCAUGCCCCUUAUGAUUUGGGCUACACACGUGCUACAAUGGACAAUACAAAGGGCAGCGAAACCGCGAGGUCAAGCAAAUCCCAUAAAGUUGUUCUCAGUUCGGAUUGUAGUCUGCAACUCGACUACAUGAAGCUGGAAUCGCUAGUAAUCGUAGAUCAGCAUGCUACGGUGAAUACGUUCCCGGGUCUUGUACACACCGCCCGUCACACCACGAGAGUUUGUAACACCCGAAGCCGGUGGAGUAACCUUUUAGGAGCUAGCCGUCGAAGGUGGGACAAAUGAUUGGGGUGAAGUCGUAACAAGGUAGCCGUAUCGGAAGGUGCGGCUGGAUCACCU
RNAcentral lists this ribosomal RNA (1343 nucleotides) under Staphylococcus aureus. RNAcentral describes it as "bacterial SSU rRNA". It matches the Rfam family "Bacterial small subunit ribosomal RNA", at positions 199 to 1528 of the family's 1533-position model. Lineage: Bacteria; Bacillati; Bacillota; Bacilli; Caryophanales; Staphylococcaceae. The record is from RNAcentral.